RNAcentral lists this transfer RNA (67 nucleotides) under Marmota monax (woodchuck). RNAcentral's name for it is "tRNA.Ala". The record is from RNAcentral. Lineage: Eukaryota; Metazoa; Chordata; Mammalia; Rodentia; Sciuridae.
GGAUUGUGGCUCAGUGGUAGAGCGCUUCCUAGCAUGUGUGAGGCACUAGGUUCAAUUCUCAGCACCA